AGCGAACGCUGGCGGCAGGCUUAACACAUGCAAGUCGAGCGGGCGUAGCAAUACGUCAGCGGCAGACGGGUGAGUAACGCGUGGGAACGUACCUUUUGGUUCGGAACAACACAGGGAAACUUGUGCUAAUACCGGAUAAGCCCUUACGGGAAAGAUUUAUCGCCGAAAGAUCGGCCCGCGUCUGAUUAGCUAGUUGGUGAGGUAACGGCUCACCAAGGCGACGAUCAGUAGCUGGUCUGAGAGGAUGAUCAGCCACAUUGGGACUGAGACACGGCCCAAACUCCUACGGGAGGCAGCAGUGGGGAAUAUUGGACAAUGGGGGCAACCCUGAUCCAGCCAUGCCGCGUGAGUGAUGAAGGCCCUAGGGUUGUAAAGCUCUUUUGUGCGGGAAGAUAAUGACGGUACCGCAAGAAUAAGCCCCGGCUAACUUCGUG
RNAcentral lists this ribosomal RNA (434 nucleotides) under uncultured bacterium. RNAcentral's name for it is "partial 16S ribosomal RNA". It matches the Rfam family "Bacterial small subunit ribosomal RNA", at positions 29 to 507 of the family's 1533-position model. The record is from RNAcentral.